Molecule: ribosomal RNA, 544 nt
Filed under: uncultured Glomeromycotina
Lineage: Eukaryota; Fungi; Glomeromycota
Description: SSU rRNA
Rfam family: Eukaryotic small subunit ribosomal RNA
Source: RNAcentral
UUGGAGGGCAAGUCUGGUGCCAGCAGCCGCGGUAAUUCCAGCUCCAAUAGCGUAUAUUAAAGUUGUUGCAGUUAAAAAGCUCGUAGUUGAAUUUCGGGGUUCUACCGUUGGUCGGGCUUUGUCUGUACUGGUGUGUAGAAUUUCUACCUUCUGGGGAACCAUCAUGCUAUUAAUUUAGCGUGGUGGGAAACCAGGACCUUUACCUUGAAAAAAUUAGUGUGUUCAAAGCAGGCUUAUGUCUGAAUACAUUAGCGUGGAAUAAUAGAAUAGGACGGUGGUCCUGUUUUGUUGGUUUCUGAAUCACCGUAAUGAUUAAUAGGGAUAGUUGGGGGCAUUAGUAUUCAAUUGUCAGAGGUGAAAUUCUUGGAUUUAUUGAAGACUAACUUCUGCGAAAGCAUUUGCCAAGGAUGUUUUCAUUAAUCAAGAACGAAAGUUAGGGGAUCGAAGACGAUCAGAUACCGUCGUAGUCUUAACCAUAAACUAUGCCGACUAGGGAUCAGACGAUGUUAAUUUUUCUUGACUCGUUCGGCGCCUUACGGGAAAC